Molecule: ribosomal RNA, 249 nt
Filed under: Triticum aestivum (bread wheat)
Lineage: Eukaryota; Viridiplantae; Streptophyta; Magnoliopsida; Poales; Poaceae
Description: partial small subunit ribosomal RNA
Source: RNAcentral
AUGUACAAGAGAUUGCUAUUUGGUAUGGAGUCUCGAUGCAUAAGGCCUGCGAUCAUCAGCGGUUCUUUGGCAUACUAUGCGCAGAAGUAUAUCCUAGGACUCAGUAGGCACAGCAACAUGGGAACAGUGCCCCUGGCUGGUACUCUUUCUGAUGUAGAAGAGAAGAACUUACUUGAGGAGAUCGAUAGACUAUUGCCAGUUCAAAAGGGUUUGGUACCUAUGAAAUUUCCGCUUGGCGUGCUUAGCUAG